Molecule: long non-coding RNA, 504 nt
Filed under: Cricetulus griseus (Chinese hamster)
Lineage: Eukaryota; Metazoa; Chordata; Mammalia; Rodentia; Cricetidae
Description: lncRNA (ENSCGRG00015041973.1)
Source: RNAcentral
GUCAGAGUCAGUGUAAGGCCGGGACAUGGAUGUCAUAGGGCAUGGACAUCAGACCCUCUGCUGCGAUUAGGUACAAUUGCUUUAGCUCAGGUGGGCUCAGGAGAUAGCUGCAAACUAAACACCGUAGCUAAGACGCCCUCAGGGUGAGCCUGACCAGGAUGAGGUAGAGCUGAACCAAGCACUCACCGGAAGGUGUUAGAAACACCUGGGCCCCUCUGGCAGAGUGGACUGUAUUAUGAUGGCCUUUGCUCUUAUCAUGCAGCCUGAGGAGGACCAGGUGGGCAAUCCAACAGGAUGAACCGGCAUGCAGCUAAGAUUUCCUGAAUGAUUGCAAGACUUCUUCCUGCAAUGGGAAGUGAACAGAGACCCUGGGAAGUAUCUUGAGCAUAUAUGAAACCUCAAAGGCCACCACCACAGUGACACACUUCCUCUAAUAAGACCACAUCUACUCCAACAAGGCCACACCUCCUAAUAGUGCCAUUGCCUUUGGGAGCCAUUUUCUUU